RNAcentral lists this ribosomal RNA (1405 nucleotides) under Salmonella enterica subsp. enterica serovar Durham. RNAcentral's name for it is "partial 23S ribosomal RNA". It matches the Rfam family "Bacterial large subunit ribosomal RNA", at positions 911 to 2215 of the family's 2925-position model. Lineage: Bacteria; Pseudomonadati; Pseudomonadota; Gammaproteobacteria; Enterobacterales; Enterobacteriaceae. The record is from RNAcentral.
UGUUUCGGCUAGGGGGCCAUCCCGGCUUACCAACCCGAUGCAAACUGCGAAUACCGGAGAAUGUUAUCACGGGAGACACACGGCGGGUGCUAACGUCCGUCGUGAAGAGGGAAACAACCCAGACCGCCAGCUAAGGUCCCAAAGUCAUGGUUAAGUGGGAAACGAUGUGGGAAGGCCCAGACAGCCAGGAUGUUGGCUUAGAAGCAGCCAUCAUUUAAAGAAAGCGUAAUAGCUCACUGGUCGAGUCGGCCUGCGCGGAAGAUGUAACGGGGCUAAACCAUGCACCGAAGCUGCGGCAGCGAACGUAUCACUUAAAGCGAUUCAGCGGGUUACGAUUGACGGAGCGAAGCGACGUCAAAGCGUAUACAAAGUCGAGUCGGUUUAAGGAUACGUUCGUUGGGUAGGGGAGCGUUCUGUAAGCCUGCGAAGGUGGCCUGUGAGGGUUGCUGGAGGUAUCAGAAGUGCGAAUGCUGACAUAAGUAACGAUAAAGCGGGUGAAAAGCCCGCUCGCCGGAAGACCAAGGGUUCCUGUCCAACGUUAAUCGGGGCAGGGUGAGUCGACCCCUAAGGCGAGGCCGAAAGGCGUAGUCGAUGGGAAACGGGUUAAUAUUCCCGUACUUGGUGUUACUGCGAAGGGGGGACGGAGAAGGCUAUGUUGGCCGGGCGACGGUUGUCCCGGUUUAAGCGUGUAGGUGUGUGUUCCAGGUAAAUCCGGUUCACUUUAACACUGAGGCGUGACGACGAGGCACUACGGUGCUGAAGUAACAAAUGCCCUGCUUCCAGGAAAAGCCUCUAAGCAUCAGGUAACAUCAAAUCGUACCCCAAACCGACACAGGUGGUCAGGUAGAGAAUACCAAGGCGCUUGAGAGAACUCGGGUGAAGGAACUAGGCAAAAUGGUGCCGUAACUUCGGGAGAAGGCACGCUGACACGUAGGUGAAGUGAUUUACUCAUGGAGCUGAAGUCAGUCGAAGAUACCAGCUGGCUGCAACUGUUUAUUAAAAACACAGCACUGUGCAAACACGAAAGUGGACGUAUACGGUGUGACGCCUGCCCGGUGCCGGAAGGUUAAUUGAUGGGGUCAGCGCAAGCGAAGCUCCUGAUCGAAGCCCCGGUAAACGGCGGCCGUAACUAUAACGGUCCUAAGGUAGCGAAAUUCCUUGUCGGGUAAGUUCCGACCUGCACGAAUGGCGUAAUGAUGGCCAGGCUGUCUCCACCCGAGACUCAGUGAAAUUGAACUCGCUGUGAAGAUGCAGUGUACCCGCGGCAAGACGGAAAGACCCCGUGAACCUUUACUAUAGCUUGACACUGAACAUUGAGCCUUGAUGUGUAGGAUAGGUGGGAGGCUUUGAAGUGUGGACGCCAGUCUGCAUGGAGCCGACCUUGAAAUACCACCCUUUAAUGUUU